Molecule: long non-coding RNA, 548 nt
Filed under: Heterocephalus glaber (naked mole-rat)
Lineage: Eukaryota; Metazoa; Chordata; Mammalia; Rodentia; Bathyergidae
Description: lncRNA (ENSHGLG00000046962.1)
Source: RNAcentral
UUUCUUUUACCAAAAACAAUAUUAUUUUUGAUCCCAAAUGUCUGAAGCUUCUGAAAGGAUAUAUUUGGGAGCUUUAAGAAAUUAAAGGAUUAGACAAGAGUUUAAGUGGGCUGGUGGAAGAAGGGAGAAAGUUAACUCAACCUUUAAGGCUGUGAUUAUGCUCACAUCGAAUAGCAUUAAUUUACCUAAACUAAUAACACUCAAAUCAAGCCAUGACAGCAGUCCUCUAGCACCAGUCGAAAAUACAGUUUGAAGAUGUGUUAUGUACAUGUACCAACUCCCCACGAGAAAUGUAACAUUAGGUGUUGCAAACAGGUGAGUGGAUUUGCUCUGAAACACCCUUCUGCCAUGAAGUUCCACCACAAACCAAAAGCAAGAAUGCCAACUGACCAUGGACUGAAAGCUACAAAACCUCAAGCCAAAAUAAAUCUUUCUAUAAGCUGAUUACCUCAGGUGUACAGUGAAGCUUUUUGAGGCUACAUGAGGGGAUCGAACGCGGGACCUUGCGCUUGCCAGGCCGGCGCCAGAACCACUGAGCUAAAUCCCCG